CGCUAUGACCGCAGCAACCAAGAAACUGACUUUUGCAGAGUAUCUCAAGUAUGACGAUGGCACGGAUACCCAAUACGAAUUGGUUGAUGGAGAAUUAAUCCCCAUGAGUCUUGGCACUGGCAAGCAUGGCGGAAUCUCCAAGUUUUUAGAACGAACCUUCGAUGACGAAAGUGCCAAGAUGGGAAGGAAUUGGACAGCACAAAAGUUUUCCGUCGGUAUU
This 220-nucleotide unclassified non-coding RNA is filed under the name plant metagenome. RNAcentral describes it as "partial contains 5.8S ribosomal RNA, internal transcribed spacer 2, and large subunit ribosomal RNA". The record is from RNAcentral.